Molecule: long non-coding RNA, 250 nt
Filed under: Callithrix jacchus (white-tufted-ear marmoset)
Lineage: Eukaryota; Metazoa; Chordata; Mammalia; Primates; Cebidae
Description: lncRNA (ENSCJAG00000076669.1)
Source: RNAcentral
UCGCCGCCUGACUCAGAACCCGGGCAGGGGGUCGCCGCCCCCACAAGUUUCCUGGUCCCUACUGGUGAGAAGCGAGAAAACCCCGCCCCCAGCAGGCACGUUGGGCCGGCUCAGGUGAAGCGAGGCCUGCGUCCCCUGCGCGCUCCCCACGCCGGGAGCCGAGGAAACCAAAAAAGAAAGAGCUGAAAAAAAAAAAUAAAAUAAUAUAGUUAUUUAUGUUUCCAGGCUUCAUGGACGGUCUUGUAGAACA